Molecule: unclassified non-coding RNA, 634 nt
Filed under: Rhizopus arrhizus
Lineage: Eukaryota; Fungi; Mucoromycota; Mucoromycetes; Mucorales; Rhizopodaceae
Description: sequence contains 18S rRNA gene, ITS1, 5.8S rRNA gene, ITS2, 28S rRNA gene
Rfam family: 5.8S ribosomal RNA (bases 239-392)
Source: RNAcentral
UCGUAACAAGGUUUCCGUAGGUGAACCUGCGGAAGGAUCAUUAAUUAUGUUAAAGCGCCUUACCUCUUAGGGUUUCCUCUGGGGUAAGUGAUUGCUUCUACACUGUGAAAAUUUGGCUGAGAGACUCAGACUGGUCAUGGGUAGACCUAUCUGGGGUUUGAUCGAUGCCACUCCUGGUUUCAGGAGCACCCUUCAUAAUAAACCUAGAAAUUCAGUAUUAUAAAGUUUAAUAAAAAACAACUUUUAACAAUGGAUCUCUUGGUUCUCGCAUCGAUGAAGAACGUAGCAAAGUGCGAUAACUAGUGUGAAUUGCAUAUUCAGUGAAUCAUCGAGUCUUUGAACGCAGCUUGCACUCUAUGGUUUUUCUAUAGAGUACGCCUGCUUCAGUAUCAUCACAAACCCACACAUAACAUUUGUUUAUGUGGUAAUGGGUCGCAUCGCUGUUUUAUUACAGUGAGCACCUAAAAUGUGUGUGAUUUUCUGUCUGGCUUGCUAGGCAGGAAUAUUACGCUGGUCUCAGGAUCUUUUUCUUUGGUUCGCCCAGGAAGUAAAGUACAAGAGUAUAAUCCAGCAACUUUCAAACUAUGAUCUGAAGUCAGGUGGGAUUACCCGCUGAACUUAAGCAUAUCAAUAA